AUGCUAGUCCGCAAGUUUUGGUGGGGGAGUAGAGAUGGCAAGCGAAAGCCAAACUGGGUAUCCUGGAAGGAUAUGACGCAACCCAAAGAUAUGGGAGGAUUAGGGUUUAAGGACUUCAAGCUUUUUAACCUAGCCUUGCUUGCUAGGCAGGCAUGGCGGAUUCUGCAAAAUCCAGACGCUCUGAGCUCCCAAAUCUUGAAAGGAGUUUACUUCCCAAAUACAACAAUACUAGAAGCCAACAUCGGCAGCCACCCGAGCCAAAUCUGGAGGGCAAUAGUCGAAGGAAGAGAUAUAUUGAAACAAGGUCUAAUUAGAAGGAUUGGCAAUGGUGCAAGCACUAAUAUUUGGAAUGAUAAUUGGAUCCAAGGAGAUGAAUUCCUGAGACCUUAUGGAAGCAGAGUUGCAAACCCCCCAGAAAAUGUUUCUGAAUUAAUAGACGCUACGGUGGCGUGCUGGAAUAUUAACGGAUCAAAGAAGUUCUUUUGCCCAUAG
This 492-nucleotide ribosomal RNA is filed under the name Triticum aestivum (bread wheat). Its description in RNAcentral is "partial small subunit ribosomal RNA". The record is from RNAcentral. Lineage: Eukaryota; Viridiplantae; Streptophyta; Magnoliopsida; Poales; Poaceae.